RNAcentral lists this ribosomal RNA (253 nucleotides) under uncultured bacterium. Its description in RNAcentral is "partial 16S ribosomal RNA". It matches the Rfam family "Bacterial small subunit ribosomal RNA", at positions 524 to 776 of the family's 1533-position model. The record is from RNAcentral.
UACGUAGGGGGCAAGCGUUAUCCGGAUUUACUGGGUGUAAAGGGAGCGUAGACGGCAGCGCAAGUCUGAAGUGAAAUGCCGGGGCUUAACCCCGGAACUGCUUUGGAAACUGUGCAGCUAGAGUGCAGGGGAGGUAAGUGGAAUUCCUAGUGUAGCGGUGAAAUGCGUAGAUAUUAGGAGGAACACCAGUGGCGAAGGCGGCUUACUGGACUGUAACUGACGUUGAGGCUCGAAAGCGUGGGGAGCAAACAGG